AUGAAAGUGGUUGAGUUUUACUACAAAGAAAUGUCAGACAACUCUGGGGUUGAAGAGAUAAUUGCAUUUAGAGAAGUUGUUCAAGAGUUAUAUGAUUCGUAUGCUUCUCUUUAUAAUCCUACAAUUGGCACAGGAGAACCUUCAUCUGAAGCUUCUCACCUCCACAUGAAUGUAAAUACUGAGCCACGAAAGAAAAAGCUAAGUGCUUUUCUAAAUGAUAUAAGUGAAGUAGACCAAGAUAAGUCUGACUUGGGGAAAUAUUGUAGCGCACCCUUGGUAAGGUGGCCUGAAGGUGAAUAUUUUGACAUUCUAUCUUGGUGGAAGACCCAUGGUUCACAGUAUCCUAUCCUUGCUAUGGUUGCAAGAGAUGUUUUGGCUAUUCCUGCCUCCACAGUUGCAUCUGAAUCUGCUUUUAGCGGAGCAGGACGAGUGGUUGACAAGUAUCGUAGUCGUUUGGACCCUGAAGUUGUUGAGGCUUUGAUCUGUACCAAAGAUUGGAUAAGAGCCUCUAGAAAAGAUAAUAAAUGUGAUGUAGCUUCAAUAAUACAAGAUUUAGCUAUCAUUGAUAUUGCUGGAGAAGGCGAGCAAGGCGAGAACAAUGAAGAUGAUGGUGCUUCUAUCCCUACAGAUGAUCACAACGCCUUGGAGAUAGUUUGA
This 657-nucleotide ribosomal RNA is filed under the name Triticum aestivum (bread wheat). Its description in RNAcentral is "partial small subunit ribosomal RNA". Lineage: Eukaryota; Viridiplantae; Streptophyta; Magnoliopsida; Poales; Poaceae. The record is from RNAcentral.